This 1464-nucleotide ribosomal RNA is filed under the name uncultured bacterium. Its description in RNAcentral is "bacterial SSU rRNA". It matches the Rfam family "Bacterial small subunit ribosomal RNA". The record is from RNAcentral.
CUCAGAUUGAACGCUGGCGGCAGGCCUAACACAUGCAAGUCGAGCGGUAGCACAGAGAGCUUGCUCUCGGGUGACGAGCGGCGGACGGGUGAGUAAUGUCUGGGAAACUGCCUGAUGGAGGGGGAUAACUACUGGAAACGGUAGCUAAUACCGCAUAACGUCGCAAGACCAAAGUGGGGGACCUUCGGGCCUCAUGCCAUCAGAUGUGCCCAGAUGGGAUUAGCUAGUAGGUGGGGUAACGGCUCACCUAGGCGACGAUCCCUAGCUGGUCUGAGAGGAUGACCAGCCACACUGGAACUGAGACACGGUCCAGACUCCUACGGGAGGCAGCAGUGGGGAAUAUUGCACAAUGGGCGCAAGCCUGAUGCAGCCAUGCCGCGUGUGUGAAGAAGGCCUUCGGGUUGUAAAGCACUUUCAGCGGGGAGGAAGGCGUUAAGGUUAAUAACCUUGGCGAUUGACGUUACCCGCAGAAGAAGCACCGGCUAACUCCGUGCCAGCAGCCGCGGUAAUACGGAGGGUGCAAGCGUUAAUCGGAAUUACUGGGCGUAAAGCGCACGCAGGCGGUCUGUCAAGUCGGAUGUGAAAUCCCCGGGCUCAACCUGGGAACUGCAUUCGAAACUGGCAGGCUAGAGUCUUGUAGAGGGGGGUAGAAUUCCAGGUGUAGCGGUGAAAUGCGUAGAGAUCUGGAGGAAUACCGGUGGCGAAGGCGGCCCCCUGGACAAAGACUGACGCUCAGGUGCGAAAGCGUGGGGAGCAAACAGGAUUAGAUACCCUGGUAGUCCACGCCGUAAACGAUGUCGAUUUGGAGGUUGUGCCCUUGAGGCGUGGCUUCCGGAGCUAACGCGUUAAAUCGACCGCCUGGGGAGUACGGCCGCAAGGUUAAAACUCAAAUGAAUUGACGGGGGCCCGCACAAGCGGUGGAGCAUGUGGUUUAAUUCGAUGCAACGCGAAGAACCUUACCUGGUCUUGACAUCCACAGAACUUACCAGAGAUGCAUUGGUGCCUUCGGGAACUGUGAGACAGGUGCUGCAUGGCUGUCGUCAGCUCGUGUUGUGAAAUGUUGGGUUAAGUCCCGCAACGAGCGCAACCCUUAUCCUUUGUUGCCAGCGGUUAGGCCGGGAACUCAAAGGAGACUGCCAGUGAUAAACUGGAGGAAGGUGGGGAUGACGUCAAGUCAUCAUGGCCCUUACGACCAGGGCUACACACGUGCUACAAUGGCAUAUACAAAGAGAAGCGACCUCGCGAGAGCAAGCGGACCUCAUAAAGUAUGUCGUAGUCCGGAUUGGAGUCUGCAACUCGACUCCAUGAAGUCGGAAUCGCUAGUAAUCGUAGAUCAGAAUGCUACGGUGAAUACGUUCCCGGGCCUUGUACACACCGCCCGUCACACCAUGGGGAGUGGGUUGCAAAAGAAGUAGGUAGCUUAACCUUCGGGAGGGCGCUUACCACUUUGUGAUUCAUGACUGG